RNAcentral lists this non-coding RNA (21 nucleotides) under Caenorhabditis elegans. The record is from RNAcentral. Lineage: Eukaryota; Metazoa; Nematoda; Chromadorea; Rhabditida; Rhabditidae.
UCUUGAUGGGCUAUACGAAAC